GAUGAACGCUGGCGGCGCGCCUAACACAUGCAAGUCGAACGGUUAAAGCACCUUUUAGGUGUGUAUAAAGUGGCGAACGGCUGAGUAACACGUGGGCAACCUGCCCUCCUCUUGGGGAUAGCCUCGGGAAACCGAGGAUAAUACCCGAUACUUCAAUGUGGCCGCAUGACGUCAUUGAGAAAGCUUUUGCGGAGAAGGAUGGGCCCGCGGCCUGUUAGCUUGUUGGUGGGGUAGAGGCCUACCAAGGCAAUGAUGGGUAGCUGGGUUGAGAGACCGACCAGCCAGAUUGGGACUGAGACACGGCCCAGACUCCUACGGGAGGCAGCAGUGGGGAAUCUUGCACAAUGGGCGAAAGCCUGAUGCAGCGACGCCGCGUGCGGGACGAAGGCCUUCGGGUUGUAAACCGCUUUCAGCAGGGACGAGGCGAUAAGUGACGGUACCUGCAGAAGAAGCCCCGGCUAACUACGUG
RNAcentral lists this ribosomal RNA (469 nucleotides) under uncultured bacterium. Its description in RNAcentral is "partial 16S ribosomal RNA". It matches the Rfam family "Bacterial small subunit ribosomal RNA", at positions 28 to 507 of the family's 1533-position model. The record is from RNAcentral.